Molecule: long non-coding RNA, 1192 nt
Organism: Poecilia latipinna (sailfin molly)
Lineage: Eukaryota; Metazoa; Chordata; Actinopteri; Cyprinodontiformes; Poeciliidae
Exons: 3
Source: RefSeq, a predicted model, not a curated record
CGCCAUCACGUGACUCUCUCCCCAGUGCGCCACAAUCUGAAGCGGGAAAAUGUUUGACACUAAAAAUUACAAGUUAGGAUGGAUAUGACAACCGAGGCAGGAACACCGCACCAGUUUGACCUGAAACUAAAAAAAUACCGGCGCCAAGGCCUGGAUUUGAAGUCCCCUCGACGAGUGUUUCAACUGUUGUGUACGACUAAAAAACAACUGAACUGAAAGUUCAUUCAUAUGUGGCUAUGUGAAUUACUGAGAGUCCGCUGAUGAGAAGAGCCUGACUGGGAGAACAUCAAGACAUCUUAAAUAAGUCAGAAGCUUUCCAACUGGUUUCCCUCUUUCCUCUGUAAAGUUUUUACUUCUAUGAAAGGUUGUAAUUACUAUGUCAACUGCAAUGUUAGAAAAAAUCUCAAGCUAAUUAUUUACUCUCUUGCUCAGACGGUAAGUAAGAAGAUAACUGGUAGAUAGCAACAUAAAAACAUUGUUGAUACCUACAUGUUGGGGGAAUCCCAGGUUACAGAGUAACUGUUGUUUUUAUUGGAGGAGGCCUAAAGGGGAUCGGCACAUGAUGUAGAAGUAGAGUAGACGCCCCAUGUACCAUGGCUGUCAGCCCUCAACAUAGUACUGACUCCCAAUCCUUCGCUGCAGGUCUUCCCCCCUUUUUCCUUCCCAUUUCCUGUCUGAUUCUGAAAAUCAAAGCCAGUAGUGCCACAAAAAAAACGUCUUAAAAACAUGACAGCAUGACAUAUUUAUGUUUUACUGUUUACAGUUAAUCAGUGUCUGUGAGUUUUUAUUAAAUAAUCCAUUGCUUACAGUUUUGUUGGGGUAUAUGGCAUGACAAGCUAAUUUUUGCUUAAUCUUUGAGCAUCAAGCUGGAAAAGGAUCCAUAUUCAUCUUGGCAUAUUUCACAGAAAGCAGAAUGGUAAGAGAAUUAAAAAAAUCAUCAGUCUGAUGUUUAAAAAUGGCCAAACUCUCUGUAACAUCGAUUAGAGACUAUCUGUAGUACCACCCUAAAGUGUUAACGGUAAUCUGUGCUGUGUACUCAGUUAUUUAGACAAUUGACUUGUUUUUAUUUUGUUUUAUUUAUUUUUUUUUUCAGUUGUUUGUCUUUGUUUCAUACUGGUUGUGACUGUAUAUAUCUCCUUAUACAGUAAUUUGUCAAAUAAAUAUAUGUUUUAUACGUUUGUGUACGAUUUCU